AGCAGCCGCGGUAAUUCCAGCUCCAAUAGCGUAUAUUAAAGUUGUUGCAGUUAAAAAGCUCGUAGUUGAAUUUCGGAAUCUGUCCAUCGGUCGGGCUUCACUGUCCGUACUGGUGUGGUGGGUUCUUACCUUCUGAAUAACCAGCAUGCCAUUUAUUUGGUGCGCUGGGGAAGCAGGACUAUUACCUUGAAAAAUUUAGAGUGCUCAAAGCAGGCUAGUGCCUGAAUACAUUAGCAUGGAAUAAUAAAAUAGGACGGCAUGGUUCUAUUUUGUUGGUUUCUAGGAUCACCGUAAUGAUUAAUAGGGAUAGUUGGGGGCAUUAGUAUUCAAUUGUCAGAGGUGAAAUUCUUGGAUUUAUUGAAGACUAACUUCUGCGAAAGCAUUUGCCAAGGAUGUUUUCAUUAAUCAAGAACGAAAGUUAGGGGAUCGAAGACGAUCAGAUACCGUCGUAGUCUUAACCAUAAACUAUGCCGACUAGGGAUCGGACGAUGUUAAUUUUUAAUGACUCGUUCGGUCG
This 517-nucleotide ribosomal RNA is filed under the name uncultured Glomeromycotina. Its description in RNAcentral is "SSU rRNA". It matches the Rfam family "Eukaryotic small subunit ribosomal RNA", at positions 569 to 1086 of the family's 1831-position model. Lineage: Eukaryota; Fungi; Glomeromycota. The record is from RNAcentral.